RNAcentral lists this long non-coding RNA (1928 nucleotides) under Homo sapiens (human). RNAcentral describes it as "HSALNT0345307". The record is from RNAcentral. Lineage: Eukaryota; Metazoa; Chordata; Mammalia; Primates; Hominidae.
AGCCUGAGGCUGGAUACCCCCGCUGGGCCCGGAUGACCCCGCUGGGCCCGGAGCAUCCUCCGGCGCUGCCCUCCCAGAGCCACGCAGAGGCUGAGGUGGCGCGGGGGCGGCCCCGGCUCCGCGAGAAGCGGCGGCAGCGAGGGCUGGAGGACCCGGGCUGCGGGGCUCCGGGGCGUCUGGCCUGGGUGGGACUGAGCCCAUCCAGGGACUGGGACUCUGGGAUUCUGGUGUAGGUGGAUCCGGGGCAGGCUCAGGACCAAGUCCCUCUCCUUCCACCAAGGAGCGCCCAGAGGCCGGCGGGAGCUCCAGGUUCACCUCCUCCUCCUCCAGGAAAUCCCACUUCCAGCUAGAUGUCUGCAUGAACUACUGAAAGCUGCUGAGUGUCUUGCAGCAGGUGAGCUGUGGCCAGAGCUCAAGGAUGAAGGGGACUCCCUCACUCUGUGACUGUGAAGAGGAAGCCUGAGGUGUAGCAGGCCCAGGCCCCAGAAGUAUGGAAAAAAUGAGGUUUGACAGAAUUCAUGUUGCUGCCAUAGAGGGGCUCUUUUCAAACUGAUGUCUUAAAUCUUGUUCACGCCAUUUUCAAUCCAGAGGAAGACCUUCUAAAAGAGGUGAUGGAUGGGAGAGUGCUGACAUACUAUGUGAAGCUACUAUUUGGAGUUGGACACGAGUGCAUGUGACCUUGUGCCACAGCGGGAAUCUUGACUACCACACAAAUGAAUCCAUUCAAAUGUUGGCAAGUGGAGCAGAGUCCCAGGACAGGUAAAGCACUUUCCCUGCUUUUUCUUAAGAUCAAUCCCCAUGCCUAGAAAUUAAAGUCACAUCCCACAUGAUCAUUAAAGUAGAGAGUGCAUUCUACAGGAUGAGUGAAAAGGCAUUUAUGAUUCUUGGGGGCAGAUGUUCUACAGUUGCCUGUGCUAGUUCAUGUCUUUCUGCAGAUCACAUUCUUAACCUCUAGAGAGUCUGGCAGGACCAGAGCCUUACCUUUCCCAGUCUGCAAUCUCUACAGGUACAGAAACACCCCCAGUUCAAGAAUCUUCACAUCUGAAUUUAGUCCUACACCUGCAACUACCCCAGGUAAGUUUCCUUGUUCUUCAAUGGCAAAGUUUGGACAAUGCUGUUCAAACUCCAGGCAACAAGCAACAUCUAGGGAAUGUGCUUUUAGGUAGGGUCAGCAUAAUAUCCCACCCUGGAAGACAUUUUUAUUUUAAAGUUGUAGAGGGUGAUGCUGCUGGCGGCUCCCUCCCAAUUAGCACCAUUUGCAGCCUCUUUUGAAGACAGAGAACUGAGGGCUGUCCUUCAAAUGGAGCAGUGUGAUUCCAAAAAAAAGAGAUGCUCCUUGUGGUCCUGGGACCAGGGAUAGGACUCCAGCUGAGCCUGGUGGAAGAGGUCCACGUCCUAGCCCAACGGAGAGCCAUGCAGCUGAGCUUGGGCGAUGUGGUCCACGUGGUUGUUUCUGAGUGUGUCCUGAGGUUGCUGGAUGGCUUGCAGUUCCCUAUGCAGAUCCAAUGCUUCUUUUGCUUUUUUGGUUCUGCAACCUGGAAUUUAUAUGUUCAAGAUGGAGCCAUCUCAGCCAUGACAACAGAGAAUGUACCACUCUCACAUGAGGAAGAGGGGUAGGAAGUGCUCCUGUAUCACCAGCCCUUAAUGAGACCCUGAGGAAACCACAUCAUGGAGAUCAGCCCUUCUCUCCUGUAAGGAACUCAUCCUAUGAAAGAGCAAUUAGUGCCUGCAAGAGCUGUCUCUGGGACAGCUGUUCAUGUCUAUAUCUGCAGGGUAACCCUCAUAGUCAUAUGCAGUCAUAUCCAUAGUCAUAUCGGGAGUCAGACUCCAGUUUGACUGAGUGAAUGGAGAAACUAAACAUUUAUUACUGAAUAAUAACAUUAAUAAACCAUCUUAAUGAUAGUAAUAAUAAACAUAUUGAUGAGUAU